AUAUAUACAUCCAUAUGCUAUAGAUUACUUCAUCAGGACGUACCAUGUCUCGCCAUAACUUGCUUAUGACUAUUAUUUUCCCGGCUUACGACACACUUUUUUAGAUAGAUAACGAUAUAUCUAGCUACCUAUGUAUAUGCCAUAUAAUUCCAUUUUAUUGGAAUUCAUAUUAGUAUAUACAAUUUUUUUCUAUUAGAUGCACUACGUCUCGAUCAGUUCAGAUGAUGACUGGUCGGUCGAGGCAUUGAAAGGCGUACAUGAAAUUUGUAAUUUCAUACAGAUCGAAUAGUUCUACUAUAAACGCGCUUCCCAAUACACUUCAUCGUCUGCAGUGAAGGCAGUGAAGGCGCUGCACAUGUAUAUCUAUAUGCACACAGUGAUGUAGAUAUAUGUAUGUAUAUAUAAUAUGUAGAAAAAAAGACGUAUGUCAAUUUUACGAUUUUUUAUCGUUUGAAAACCAAAUAAAAAUUAAAGGCAUUUAAAAACCAUUUGUUAU
This is a long non-coding RNA of Drosophila arizonae, 496 nucleotides long. RefSeq lists it as uncharacterized. NCBI's taxonomy places the organism in Eukaryota, Metazoa, Arthropoda, Insecta, Diptera, Drosophilidae. The record is from RefSeq and is a predicted model, not a curated record.